This 472-nucleotide ribosomal RNA is filed under the name uncultured bacterium. RNAcentral describes it as "bacterial SSU rRNA". It matches the Rfam family "Bacterial small subunit ribosomal RNA", at positions 917 to 1392 of the family's 1533-position model. The record is from RNAcentral.
UAUCCCCCCCCUGUCGUGCCUUGCCUCCCACGACUGCAAAACGCGAAGAACCUUACCCACCUUUGACAUGUACGGAAUCCUUUAGAGAUAGAGGAGUGCUCGAAAGAGAGCCGUAACACAGGUGCUGCAUGGCUGUCGUCAGCUCGUGUCGUGAGAUGUUGGGUUAAGUCCCGCAACGAGCGCAACCCUUGCCAUUAGUUGCUACAUUUAGUUGAGCACUCUAAUGGGACUGCCGGUGCAAACCGGAGGAAGGUGGGGAUGACGUCAAGUCCUCAUGGCCCUUAUAGGUGGGGCUACACACGUCAUACAAUGGCUGGUACAAAGGGUUGCCAACCCGCGAGGGGGAGCUAAUCCCAUAAAGCCAGUCGUAGUCCGGAUCGCAGUCUGCAACUCGACUGCGUGAAGUCGGAAUCGCUAGUAAUCGUGGAUCAGAAUGUCACGGUGAAUACGUUCCCGGGUCUUGUACACACCG